GCGUUGGCCCAAUUGAUUGAUGGUGCUUGCACCUGAUUGAUUUUGGUCGCCAACGAGUGGCGGACGGGUGAGUAACACGUAGGUAACCUGCCCAGAAGCGGGGGACAACAUUUGGAAACAGAUGCUAAUACCGCAUAACAACGUUGUUCGCAUGAACAACGCUUAAAAGAUGGCUUCUCGCUAUCACUUCUGGAUGGACCUGCGGUGCAUUAGCUUGUUGGUGGGGUAAUGGCCUACCAAGGCGAUGAUGCAUAGCCGAGUUGAGAGACUGAUCGGCCACAAUGGGACUGAGACACGGCCCAUACUCCUACGGGAGGCAGCAGUAGGGAAUCUUCCACAAUGGGCGCAAGCCUGAUGGAGCAACACCGCGUGAGUGAAGAAGGGUUUCGGCUCGUAAAGCUCUGUUGUUAAAGAAGAACACGUAUGAGAGUAACUGUUCAUACGUUGACGGUAUUUAACCAGAAAGUCACGGCUAACUACGUGCCAGCAGCCGCGGUAAUACGUAGGUGGCAAGCGUUAUCCGGAUUUAUUGGGCGUAAAGAGAGUGCAGGCGGUUUUCUAAGUCUGAUGUGAAAGCCUUCGGCUUAACCGGAGAAGUGCAUCGGAAACUGGAUAACUUGAGUGCAGAAGAGGGUAGUGGAACUCCAUGUGUAGCGGUGGAAUGCGUAGAUAUAUGGAAGAACACCAGUGGCGAA
RNAcentral lists this ribosomal RNA (695 nucleotides) under Limosilactobacillus fermentum. Its description in RNAcentral is "bacterial SSU rRNA". It matches the Rfam family "Bacterial small subunit ribosomal RNA", at positions 39 to 719 of the family's 1533-position model. The record is from RNAcentral. Lineage: Bacteria; Bacillati; Bacillota; Bacilli; Lactobacillales; Lactobacillaceae.